CAAGAAAAAUAUUUAUGAUAUAUUGAUUAUAUAUUAUUAUAUUGCUCUAUUUUACUGUAACUUAGAUGGUUGAAGAUGUUCUAAAGAACAAACCAGGAGGAGAGAGGAUCAUCAAUGAGUAUGCCCGGACAAAAAGCCUAACGGAUAGCAGGCGGCGUGACAUGGUCAAGAUAUUAGUUGCACAUAUGACAAGUGAACAUGGGACAAGUCCUUCAAGACGUGUCAAAGAGAAAUAUGCAAAGGGUAUCAUCACGCUGUUCCCAUACCUGGCUGAUCCUAGGAGCAGGCUGGGCUAUGAGCAUUUUUACAAUGCAGAAGAUGGGAGUGGUUACCUGGCUUGGAGAUUGAAGUUUAUCCAAAAGGAAGCUUCUAAUGGACAAAACAAGACUCCCAGAAUGUCAAAAACGCAAAUGGGGGGCCCAACAUCUGAUAGAGACUGUUUCAGAGAAGACAACUGCCUAAUGACAGACAGCUUGUGUUCUGAGGCUAUUGCACUGAUGAAACAUACAGCUGAUGAAGGAAUUGUUAUGAUGAAGAUGAAGCAGACCUUCAACUAUCGCCAAAAGAUGAUUCAUGAUCCAGUGAAGUCAUCUGAUAUCUUUUUGGACUUCCCAAGAUUCCUGGAUAUAGGAGGAUUAGUAUGUUUAUCUUACCUUCAACUUCCCUCACUGUUACAUUUAUAAGUUGAGGUGCAUCUGAGAAAAAAGUGAGUAUAAAAGUUGUUUGAUACAAGGAGUUUCAAAAACUUAAUUUCAUCUCUUCUGCAGAUUGAACAAGAUUUUACUUAGAUGUUCGAUGAAGCCACCUCUGUGAAGUUCCUGGAGAAGUGGCCCACUAUCUACAAGCAGAAAGUCCUCGAACAAAGCCGUGGUCUCACGCAAUCAGAUGACCUUCAGUACCUUGUGCAAAAUGCUGAAUGCACAAUAGAAGUGGAAAAUGGUGAGAUAAAAUAAAUGGAAUUUUAUUGUUAUGUUUUAAUUGGAGCAUUUGAAAGUGUAACACCGUCACCUGCUGUCGCUUUUUUUUUUUUCAAAACUUUAUAAUGUAAGUGUUAACAGAGUUGCAGAUAACGUGUUUUGGCAGCUAAUUAUUGUUUCCAAUUUACUUAUGUUUCCAGGAUGGGACAGUGACAUGUCAUCCAUUUUGAUCCUUGUACACCUGUUACCACCAUCACCUCAUGGCCGCAAGAGACCAGGAAAGCUCUCAGCCAGACAAGCCUGUGACCAUCUUGUCAAGUUUGUCAAGACGGGAACUAGCAUCCAGGGGCAUCUCGAUGGCAUCACGGAGAGCCUUCAACCAUACCUUCUUGCAGUGGGCACU
Long non-coding RNA from Astatotilapia calliptera (eastern happy), 1320 nucleotides. The record is from Ensembl. Lineage: Eukaryota; Metazoa; Chordata; Actinopteri; Cichliformes; Cichlidae.